AUUGAACGCUGGCGGCAUGCUUUACACAUGCAAGUCGAACGGGGUGAGAGGGCAACUUCUCAUUCAGUGGCGAACGGGUGAGUAAUGCAUCGGAACGUACCCUGUAGUGGGGGAGUAACGCCGGGAAACCGGCGCUAAUACCGCAUAUUUCUCUGUGGAGGAAAGACGGGGGACCGUGUUAGAGGGCCGUCGCGCUAUGGGA
This 202-nucleotide ribosomal RNA is filed under the name uncultured bacterium. RNAcentral describes it as "partial 16S ribosomal RNA". It matches the Rfam family "Bacterial small subunit ribosomal RNA", at positions 30 to 245 of the family's 1533-position model. The record is from RNAcentral.